UCUAUGGCUUGUGUCAGUUGCUAUGUUUGAUUUCAUUUAUUUAAAAGAAAAUAUAAAAACCCAUGAAAUAUGAAUUGGAGAAGAACGCAGACAAAAUAGAAAACUGUCACUCUGGUCAAUGGCGAUACAAUUGUGCCUUUCCUGUGCUCCAUUUGCUGUUCUUUUAUAGAAUUUGAAAGAUACUACAUUUAAUAUGCAUCCUGAACAAUUUGCCUACCAUAAGAAUACUUUGGACUUCACUUUAGACUUUUAAAGAAAGCACUUCGAACAAUUCGCCUACGGAGUUUUGUCUGUGUUUUGGGUUAUUGACUGUAAUUGUGAUGGACAUCAGAACGUUGUUACAGAAUUAUUUUUGCCAGUUGAUGCACGCGACAUU
Agrilus planipennis (emerald ash borer) is the source of this 376-nucleotide long non-coding RNA. RefSeq lists it as uncharacterized. The record is from RefSeq and is a predicted model, not a curated record. The transcript is spliced from 4 exons. NCBI's taxonomy places the organism in Eukaryota, Metazoa, Arthropoda, Insecta, Coleoptera, Buprestidae.